Emys orbicularis (European pond turtle) is the source of this 281-nucleotide long non-coding RNA. RefSeq lists it as uncharacterized. Lineage: Eukaryota; Metazoa; Chordata; Testudines; Emydidae. The transcript is spliced from 3 exons. The record is from RefSeq and is a predicted model, not a curated record.
AAUUUCCCUAUCUUGGGAGCAGCUGAUCUUCUUGGACAGGGAGGAGCAUGUUCACCUGAGCAGAGGCCUGGAACCGGAAAGAGGAAUCGCCCAGGAGCCCCAGCCGGAGGAGAAACUGGAAGAAGUGAACCUGAGCAGCCUGGACAUCCUUGUAAGCAGAGAUGAACAGUCCUCCGCUUUGUCUUCUCCAUGACUGGCUCUGCGCUUGCAGAGGAAUUGGCCAGGAGCCCCAGCCACAGAAGAAGCUGGCACAAGUGGACCUGAGCAACCUGGACAUCCUU